AAUGUCAUAGGCAAUGGUGCAAACAUGAAUGGAGUACCAUCAAUGCCUUUACGGUUCUUCAUGCCCUUGUUAGACCUUUCGAGUACUCUUUGAAUCCUAAAGUUGCUAAGGAGCCAGUAUCGCCGCAACUGGAACUAAUUGCAAAAGCAAUUCUUGCACCUUUGCUGACAGUGUUGCAUCAUUUCGUUGAAAAGGCUACAGCUACCUAUAGUAAAAAAGAGUUGGAAAUUGAGAA
Long non-coding RNA from Hibiscus syriacus, 235 nucleotides. RefSeq lists it as uncharacterized. The record is from RefSeq and is a predicted model, not a curated record. Lineage: Eukaryota; Viridiplantae; Streptophyta; Magnoliopsida; Malvales; Malvaceae. The transcript is spliced from 3 exons.